This 1462-nucleotide ribosomal RNA is filed under the name Sierraperla cora (giant roachfly). RNAcentral describes it as "SSU rRNA". It matches the Rfam family "Eukaryotic small subunit ribosomal RNA", at positions 613 to 1816 of the family's 1831-position model. The record is from RNAcentral. Lineage: Eukaryota; Metazoa; Arthropoda; Insecta; Plecoptera; Peltoperlidae.
UGUUGCGGUUAAAAAGCUCGUAGUUGGACUUGUGUCCCACGCCGUCGGUUCGUCGCCCGUCGACGUAACCGCACGGUCAAAAUUGAACAGUGGGACGUCCAGCCGGUGGAUCGCCCGGUCGGGACGUACGAGGAGUCGCGCGUUCCACCUCGGCGCCGUGCUCGCGUGCGCCCGCCCGCCCCGCCCACGCCCACCGGCGUCCGCCCUCCGAGCCCGUUUGCGCGGUGCCUCGGUUGAGGCGUMGUCGGCUGUGGCGCGCGGCGUGCGGUCGGCGCGCGGCGUGCGCUUGCCUCCGACGUCGGGGUCGCCGGCCCCUCAGUCCCGGUGCCGGAUCCAUUUUACUCGUCUCGGUGCUCUUGAUCGAGUGUCUUGACGGGCCGGCUCGUUUACUUUGAACAAAUUAGAGUGCUUAAAGCAGGCGCAUUCACGCCCGAAUAUUGUGUGCAUGGAAUAAUGGAAUAGGAUCUCGGUCUUAUUUUGUUGGUUUUCUGGACCGGAGAUAAUGAUCAAUAGAGACUGACGGGGGCAUUCGUAUUGCGACGUUAGAGGUGAAAUUCUUGGAUCGUCGCAAGACGAACCGAAGCGAAAGCAUUUGCCAAGCAUGCUCUCGUUAAUCAAGAACGAAAGUUAGAGGUUCGAAGGCGAUCAGAUACCGCCCUAGUUCUAACCAUAAACGAUGCCAACUAGCGAUCCGCCGGUGUUCCUCCGAUGACCCGGCGGGCAGCUUCCGGGAAACCAAAGUGUUUGGGUUCCGGGGGAAGUAUGGUUGCAAAGCUUGAAACUUAAAGGAAUUGACGGAAGGGCACCACCAGGCAGUGGAGCCUGCGGCUUAAUUUGACUCAACACGGGAAACCUCACCAGGCCCGGACACUGGAAGGAUUGACAGAUUGAUAGCUCUUUCUUGAUUCAGUGGGUGGUGGUGCAUGGCCGUUCUUAGUUGGUGGAGCGAUUUGUCUGGUUAAUUCCGAUAACGAACGAGACUCUGGCCUGCUAACUAGUCGCACAAACAAUGACGACAUCCGCAUUCGUGCUGUCGGCGACAAAUCAAUACUCUUCUUAGAGGGACAGGCGGCUUCUAGCCGCACGAGAUUGAGCAAUAACAGGUCUGUGAUGCCCUUAGAUGUUCUGGGCCGCACGCGCGCUACACUGGAGGCAUCAACGUGUGUCCGCCCUUGACCGAGAGGUCCGGGUAACCCGCUGAAACGCCUCCGUGCUAGGGAUCGGGGCUUGCAAUUGUUCCCCGUGAACGAGGAAUUCCCAGUAAGCGCGAGUCAUAAGCUCGCGUUGAUUACGUCCCUGCCCUUUGUACACACCGCCCGUCGCUACUACCGAUUGAAUGAUUUAGUGAGGUCUUCGGACCGUCGCGCGGCCAAGGCCCACGCCCUCCGGGACGCGCGGCCCGUCGAUGUUCGACGGAAAGAUGAUCAAACUUGAUUAUUUAGAGGAAGUAAAAGUCGUAACA